AUCGCGGCUUGUAAUCAGGAAAGUCCGAAGCAGAGCGAUUUUUUUUUGUUACCCUUGUUGCCUUACAAGUGGGCUUUAGAACAUGAAAAAUCGGCUUUACUUCAUCCUGAACAAAGCAAGUAAACUGGUGUUUGCAAGACUUCAUGCAAGUUAAUCAAAAAGUGGAGUGCUAAGCAAAUGGACAAUGUGAAUAAGGGAAAUGCCUAGCCUUCUUUCAUGAAUGGAACCUAUGGCCAAGAGAGAAUAAGGAGUGUGGUUAUACCUUCUGUCCAUCCCUUUACUUCCAGCAGCCAGUGGAGGUCGGAAGAUAAGAUGAGGAUGCUAAAUUUUCAGAUACUGACAUUGCAUCUAUACUUGAUGAUAAAUUGCAAUAAAAUUAUACUAUACACUGUUGCAACAUUGUGAUGCAUGACAGUUAUUUGCAGCUCUCUGUUUAGAUGCCAUAUUAGAUCUAUCUCUGUUCACUCUCUGCAUUUGCCACCUGCAACCUCUCUGUUCUUGAGUUUCAGAGGGUUCACUUCCCGUGUUUCAAUACUAUAUUGUACAUAGUAACCUGUAGAAGUAAUAGAGUAAUUCUGAGCUUCCCCUAAUUUCAGCCUUCACUUUCAUCUGUCAUUUAAGAACACUUUGGUUUUCCCAGAAGGAUGCAAUCUGCCAUGAGGUGUGCAUGUUUUUGCAUAUACAAUCCUUCUUAUUUGCAUGUUUUCAUCCUGCGCCCCGACCCAAAAACCUCUCCUUCAAAUUUUUUUCAGGGUCAGACUCUAUGCUUUCAGCUGCUCCCUCUGGCUGUUUGCGUUUCUGUCUGGUCCUCUGUGUUCUGCCUUCUCUCUCACACACACACACAAACAAUACUCAGCCAAGGCAGAUUCACAUACUCCUUUUGUUUCUAGAUGGGCAAUUAUCCUUACAGUUAUGUUAAUUGAAGGGCGUGUUUAUGCAUCAGUGUUAACUCUACCCAUAACAAGGUUUCACCUGGCUCAUAAUAUGUAAAAGAUUAAUAUUUUAAUAAUGAAAAUAUACAGUGGGAACUAUUAAAAAUGUGCCUUUACUACACUGCAGUAUUUACUGUUAUGCUGGUAUUUGUUAUACUUGUUAUACUUAGAAUGGGAACUAUUUCAAAUACUGUGAUAAAUUUAACCACGCUAAGUGGUAAAUGUACAGUUUUAAUGGCACCCAU
Long non-coding RNA from Chelonia mydas (Green sea turtle), 1177 nucleotides. RefSeq lists it as uncharacterized. Lineage: Eukaryota; Metazoa; Chordata; Testudines; Cheloniidae. The transcript is spliced from 3 exons. The record is from RefSeq and is a predicted model, not a curated record.